RNAcentral lists this ribosomal RNA (1188 nucleotides) under uncultured Rozellomycota. RNAcentral's name for it is "SSU rRNA". It matches the Rfam family "Eukaryotic small subunit ribosomal RNA", at positions 455 to 1690 of the family's 1831-position model. Lineage: Eukaryota; Fungi; Rozellomycota. The record is from RNAcentral.
CACAGGGAGGUAGUGACAGUAAAUAACAAUGUAGGGCCCUUUGGGUCUUACAAUUGGAAUGAGAACAAUUUAAAUCCCUUAUCGAGUAACAAUUGGAGGGCAAGUCUGGUGCCAGCAGCCGCGGUAAUUCCAGCUCCAAUAGCGUAUAUUAAAGUUGUUGCAGUUAAAAAGCUCGUAGUUGAACCUUGGGUGCGGUGCACAUGGUCGGCCUUUGGUCAGACUGUGUCACCAAGCCUCUUUGCUGGGGACUCUAGUCGUGAGAUUAGAGGCAACCGGCGGUUACUGUGAAGAAAUUAGAGUGUUUAAAGCAGGCUUACGCUUGAAUACAUCAGCAUGGAAUAACAAUAUAGGACUUGGGUUCUAUUUUGUUGGUUUGAGGGCUCAAGUAAUGAUUAAUAGGGCCAGUUGGGGGCAUUAGUAUUCAGUAGUCAGAGGUGAAAUUCUUGGAUUUACUGAAGACUAACUAGUGCGAAAGCAUUUGCCAAGGAUGUUUUCAUUAAUCAAGAACGAAAGUUAGGGGAUCGAAGACGAUCAGAUACCGUCGUAGUCUUAACCAUAAACGAUGCCGACUUGGGAUCAGCAAAUGUCGUUAGCGACUUUGUUGGCACCAUGUGAGAAAUCAAAGUUUUUGGGUUCUGGGGGGAGUAUGGUCGCAAGGCUGAAACUUAAAGGAAUUGACGGAAGGGCACCACCAGGAGUGGAGCCUGCGGCUUAAUUUGACUCAACACGGGAAAACUCACCAGGUCCGGACAUAGUAAGGAUUGACAGAUUGAGAGCUCUUUCUUGAUUCUGUGGGUGGUGGUGCAUGGCCGUUCUUAGUUGGUGGAGUGAUUUGUCUGGUUAAUUCCGAUAACGAACGAGACCUUAACCUGCUAACUAGUAGCUGGAAGUACGCUUCCAGUCGACUUCUUAGAGGGACUGACUACGUUUAGUAGUCGGAAGUUUGAGGCAAUAACAGGUCUGUGAUGCCCUUAGAUGUUCUGGGCUGCACGCGCGCUACACUGACAAAGUCAGCGAGUAUCAACCUUGACCGAAAGGUCUGGGUAAUCUUGUGAAACUUUGUCGUGCUGGGGAUAGAUCAUUGCAAUUAUUGAUCUUGAACGAGGAAUUCCUAGUAAGCGCAUGUCAUCAGCAUGCGUUGAUUACGUCCCUGCCCUUUGUACACACCGCCCGUCGCUACUACCGAUU